GAUGAACGCUAGCGGCAGGCUUAAUACAUGCAAGUUGAGGGGCAGCAUGAUAUACGCGAGUAUAUUGAUGGCGACCGGCGGACGGGUGAGUAAUAGGUAGGAGACCUACCUCAUACAGGGGGAUAGCAUAGAGAAAUCUGUGGUAAUACCCCAUGAGGUUAUAUGAAUAGAGGCAUAUAAUCAAAGCAUAAGCGAUUAUGCGGUAUGAGAGGGGCCUACUGACCAUUAGCUAGUUGGUGAGGUAAGGGCUCACCAAGGCGAAGAUGGUUAGGGGUUUUGAGAGAGAGACCCCCCACAUUGGAACUGAGAGACGGUCCAGACUCCUACGGGAGGCAGCAGUAGGGAAUAUUGGGCAAUGGGCGAAAGCCUGACCCAGCCAUGCCGCGUGAAGGAAGACGGCCUUAUGGGUUGUAAACUUCUUUACUACGCGAAUAGAGGUUAGUACGAGAUACUAAUAGGAAGGUAGUGUAGUAAAAAGCACCGGCUAACUCCGUGACCC
This 499-nucleotide ribosomal RNA is filed under the name uncultured bacterium. RNAcentral describes it as "bacterial SSU rRNA". It matches the Rfam family "Bacterial small subunit ribosomal RNA", at positions 28 to 511 of the family's 1533-position model. The record is from RNAcentral.